RNAcentral lists this ribosomal RNA (1290 nucleotides) under Scolytoplatypus wugongshanensis. RNAcentral's name for it is "16S ribosomal RNA". The record is from RNAcentral. Lineage: Eukaryota; Metazoa; Arthropoda; Insecta; Coleoptera; Curculionidae.
AAGAAAGUAUUUAUUUUGUUUUUGAGGAAAAGAUUUAUUUUAUAAAAGUAUUUUUUGGUUUAAUUAAUUUUUAAUAAAAAAAUAGAGUUUAAUUAUAGUUUAGUAUUAUUGAAAAAGAAAAUUAAAUUUUGUGUAAAAGAAAAAUUUAAUUUUUGUACCUUGGGUAUCAGGGUUUAUUGAAAAUUUAUUUUAAAUUGAAAUAAUCUCGAGUUUAAUAAGGGCUAUAAAGUUAUAUUGGUAUAUGUAGAAAAAUAUUAUUAAAUAAGUUUAUAGAAAUGAAAAGUUAUUCUAUUUUAAAUAUAUCUAGUUUUUUAAGAGAUUAAUUUAAUUAAGUUUGUAUAUAAAAUAUUAUUUUAUAGAGAAUAUUAUUUUAUUUAUAAAUUAAUAAAAAGGGGGAUAAUCUUUUUUUUAAAUCUAUAUAAUUAAGAGAGAAAAUUAUAAAUUAAUAGAAUUAAAAGUUUUAAGUUUUAGUGAGUUAUAUUUAGUUUAUUUAUAAAUAUGAUUUUUAUAGAUUUAUUUUUUUUAUUAAAAAAUAAAUUUUUAUUUUUAAAGUUUAGGUAUAAUGAUAAAAUUAGUAUAAAUAAUGUGUAUAAAUUAUAAUUGAAGGAAAGGUUAUUAAAAAGAACUAGGCAAAUAAAUUUUCAUCUGUUUAAUAAAAACAUAUCUUUUUGAAUUUGAUUUAAAGUGUAAUCUGCUCAAUGAGAUUUAAAUAGCCGCAGUAUAUUGACUGUGCUAAGGUAGCAUAAUCAAUAGUUUAUUAAUUGUAAGCUUGAAUGAAUGAUUGGAUGAGGAAUUAACUUUUUUAUUUUAAUUUAAUUAAAAUUUUAUUUUUAAGUGAAAAAGCUUAUAUUUUUAUAAAAGACAAGAAGACCCUAUAGAGUUUUAUAAAAUUAUUUAUGGAUUGAGAAAAAGGUUUAAAUUUUAUUGAUCAAUAGUUUUAAUUAGUUGGGGUGAUUGAUAAAUUUGUUUAAUUUUAUUUAGAUUAAAGCAUUAAUAUAUGGAAAAUAUGAUCCUUUAAAAAGAUUAUUAGAAAAAAUUACCUUAGGGAUAACAGCGUAAUUUUCCUUUAGAGUUCAUAUUAAAAGGAGAGUUUGCGACCUCGAUGUUGGAUUAAGAUUAAUAAUUGGUGUAGAAGUUAAUUAAUUAGGUCUGUUCGACCUUUAGAAUCUUACAUGAUCUGAGUUUAAACCGGCGUGAGCCAGGUUGGUUUCUAUCUUUAUAUAAAUUAUUUAUAUUAGUACGAAAGGACCAUAUAAAUUUUAUAAUAGAAAAUUUUUAGAAUAAGAAUUA